RNAcentral lists this unclassified non-coding RNA (216 nucleotides) under Hevea brasiliensis (rubber tree). The record is from RNAcentral. Lineage: Eukaryota; Viridiplantae; Streptophyta; Magnoliopsida; Malpighiales; Euphorbiaceae.
GUUUGAACUAAAUAUAUUAUUUAGAUAUUCUAAACAUAUUAAGAAAAAGGAAAAUAAAAAACUAAAAAUCAAGCAUAUACAAUUUAAAAUGGUUCAACAAAUUAUCGAACAGCAAAGUGAAAUGGUAAAGUUUUCAAUCAAUAUGCAAUGUUACAACCUUCACAGCAAAAGUUAUAGCUUUGGGAAGACUGACAGGCAAUAGCAACCCUCUACGUG